This is a long non-coding RNA of Gasterosteus aculeatus aculeatus (three-spined stickleback), 639 nucleotides long. The record is from Ensembl. Lineage: Eukaryota; Metazoa; Chordata; Actinopteri; Perciformes; Gasterosteidae.
UGUUCUCUUUCUCAUUUUUUCCCCUCCCUGCGAAAAAAAAGAAAAAAAAAAGAUGAUUUUUCAAACCUCUGACAGCCGAGCCUUUUCGCAGGAUUUAGUCCAUCUGAAAACAUGUGGCCCAACUUUGCAUUUGCUGAAAGGAACAAAGGCCGAACGACGAGACGGUGCAAUAAAAACAACCGGAUCGAAGGCAACUGGAAGUGAUGAAGGACUCGCUCACACUUACGUCGACGCGCGUUUCGAAUCACAGUGAUGUACGAUCCGCGGCCAUCAGCCAGGCCGACAUUGAUCAGGAGCGGCUGCCAGCGCGCCGUCAAAUCAAUCACGGCGAUUGAUUCAGCAGCUCGAGGAGAAUGCAUGAAUGCAUGAAUGCAUGAAUGCACGGCGCAGGGUUUAACGUUGAGCACCGCAAGAAGAACACGUCGAUGUGACGUUAACAACCAUCACCCUUGAUCAUGACGGUAUCGGUAUCAUAUUAUUAAUAAGUCAGAGAAGGUUGAUCCGAAUCUCAGGGGACGGGUUUGGAGGAGAGACGAGCGGCUGCACGUCCCGACACACACUGGCGAGAGUGAUCCUCAGAUUCAUUCCAACAACUGCUUAUGUGCUUUGGCAGCAGUUUGUGAAUAAUGCUCAUCACCC